RNAcentral lists this ribosomal RNA (465 nucleotides) under Vreelandella stevensii. Its description in RNAcentral is "partial 16S ribosomal RNA". It matches the Rfam family "Bacterial small subunit ribosomal RNA", at positions 338 to 795 of the family's 1533-position model. The record is from RNAcentral. Lineage: Bacteria; Pseudomonadati; Pseudomonadota; Gammaproteobacteria; Oceanospirillales; Halomonadaceae.
CCUACGGGUCGCUGCAGUGGGGAAUAUUGGACAAUGGGCGAAAGCCUGAUCCAGCCAUGCCGCGUGUGUGAAGAAGGCCUUCGGGUUGUAAAGCACUUUCAGUGGGGAAGAAAGCCUUGGGGCUAAUACCCUCGAGGAAGGACAUCACCCACAGAAGAAGCACCGGCUAACUCCGUGCCAGCAGCCGCGGUAAUACGGAGGGUGCGAGCGUUAAUCGGAAUUACUGGGCGUAAAGCGCGCGUAGGCGGUCUGAUAAGCCGGUUGUGAAAGCCCCGGGCUCAACCUGGGAACGGCAUCCGGAACUGUCAGGCUAGAGUGCAGGAGAGGAAGGUAGAAUUCCCGGUGUAGCGGUGAAAUGCGUAGAGAUCGGGAGGAAUACCAGUGGCGAAGGCGGCCUUCUGGACUGACACUGACGCUGAGGUGCGAAAGCGUGGGUAGCAAACAGGAUUAGAGACCCUAGUAGUC